GCCAUCCAGAGGGGAAUACACAGAAAAAGGUUCAGGAGACUGUGUGUCUCUCUAGCAUCUCUCCCCUGUGGUGUUGGAAUGGCACUGCGAGGAUGUGAGGAUGUGCUCCCGGCCCGCCUGGCAGGGCAUCACCUCAAAGAGCUCAGGCUCCCAAGGACAGAGCCAGCGCGAGGCGGAGGCACAGGGUCUGCUUCCGUUUUGUGGAUGCACAGAAGCCUUUGUUAAAAGAUGAGUAUCAUUUCAAAUAUUCCGAGAAUGUGGCUGCUAGGCUGUUUAGUUCCAUGUCCCAACAUUUUUUCCUAAAAAGGGGUGGAGGCGGUGUAUUGCUCCAGAGCUGUGUGUAAAGUGUUCUUUUAACACCGGGGGCUAUACUUCCUGCUUCUGGCUGCCCUGGGAGCCAGCACGGAAGGGAGAAAACCCCUAAUCCGUCCCCAUGCCACAAGUUCCCGAGAGGCCCCGGACGCCGGGUAACACGCAGGAGUUCUACAGGGCUUUGGGGGAGUAUCUGAGAGGUUAAGUCGCUGCUCUAAAUGUCUUUUCUCAUUUCUGCCAUUUCCCGAAGGAGUUAUUCCACUUUGUGUAAAAAAGAGUAAUUACUGAAUAUCAUCAGGACUGGAUACAAUCGGUGCUCCGUUCAAUUCAACUGUCCUCUUGGAGCGCCCCCUUCAGGCCGGGCGAGAUGUCAGUGGAAGGUGGGAACGGGAAAGAGACGCAAAGAUAAGAAAGCCAAGGUUCAGAUAAUUCAGUAAUUUUUCCAAGGUCACACAUUAAGACAGAAAUCCAGGAUUCAGGUCCAGUGUGAAGAAAACCAUCAUUGGGACUUUCCACUAUAUCGCUCUACCUAACUGUACUCAGCCUGGGCACCGAAGAAAAAAGUCUUUAGCAUAUGUUUAGUGCCCUGACAUCUUCAGCUCCAGGCAAUAGUGUGCUGGUAAAUAUGGGGGAAAACAUAUGCAUAAUAUACCUACAGAAGUUUAUUAUAAAUUUUACUGAUAUAAAGAAUGGGUAGCAUCCUUUACAAUUUAUAAAUAAUAAUAAAAAUUUCAAUACUCUUGACUAUAAGUUUCAUAUUGUCAAUUGAUUCUCACAGAAUGCUUCUGUUGAUUUUUGCAGAGCUUGUGCAUUUGAGGCCAACCUAAUAGUCGCAAUUGACAAAUCACUGUAGUUCCAACAUGGCUGCUGGGUGAUAUUUUGUUUACACUAAUGAGUAAGACAAAUGAAAUAAUGAAGACAUAUAUUGGAACUUUACUUGUUUGGCAAUGAUGUGAGGGACUUCUUUGCUGAAGUGCAUAGUAGUUUUUGAAUACUGGAAGAAUAUUUCCUCAUUUUUCCCUCAACGUAAUGGCUACACACAUGACACAUUUUUAAGUUUAAUCUGCGUGACUAAAAAUUUCUCCAUCACUUUCUAAUGUCUAGACAAUCAAUUAAAUGAUAAAUCAAGUCUGGUUUUGUAGAUUUGCUGAUUUCUGUGGUGCAAACAUUCUCACCAUAGGCAAUUUCAAGUUACCAAAGUGACAUCUGAAUAUGGCAUUGGGAAGGGAUGUGCAUGGGCACGCUGUUACAUAACAUCACCAUACACACAUAAACAGAUGUAAAUAACUGUAAGAGCACAGCUAAUGGUAAAAUGUAGUAAUAUAAUUAGGAAGGGAUGAGUUUUAGAUAAUUAUUACCUUUGUUUUUAAUGAAAUUUAUUUAAUCAUAAGUUUAUGUAAUCUGAUUUUUAAUAAUGGAUGUGUUUAACAACCAGCUGUCAAAAUUCCCCAAAAUGUAACAAUUGACCCUGGUAAACUAGUAGAAGCUGGCUCCAGCAAACCGCUGCCCUACACAGGGGACUUCAUGGUUUUACAAGACUUGGUUCCUGAAUUUCAGCAGAAGUUGGCUUUUCAUAGAAAGUUACCUUAAGUCACUCUCUACCUUCUUUAUUAGUACCAAGGAUAACUUUAGUUUUAAAACUUGGCUCAUGUAACUCUUGCUUUCUCAUGGGCAAACAAUAUUUGGGCAUUAGCCUUCAAUGAGCUUAUGAAAAACACUGAUGGUAUAAGUUAUCAUGAAUACUUAAAAGGAAGGAUUGCAAAUUGGAUUUGCUAACUAGGAGCCUAAAUUCAAUGAAGUUCUCAAACAUGUAAGAGAAGAUGACUGAUUGGAAGCUUAAAGUCUGAAUGUCCUACGUGUAAAGAGGAAAUGAGAAUUCAUGGUUUGCAUUCUUAAACGUGGCUCCAAUUUAAAUGAUUGUUUCUCCUUUUACAUCCCUUUCAUUUCCA
Physeter macrocephalus (sperm whale) is the source of this 2261-nucleotide long non-coding RNA. RefSeq lists it as uncharacterized. The record is from RefSeq and is a predicted model, not a curated record. Lineage: Eukaryota; Metazoa; Chordata; Mammalia; Artiodactyla; Physeteridae. The transcript has 3 exons.